CAGAUUGCAGACUUGGCUUC
This 20-nucleotide microRNA is filed under the name Spodoptera frugiperda (fall armyworm). RNAcentral describes it as "sfr-miR-10510-5p". Lineage: Eukaryota; Metazoa; Arthropoda; Insecta; Lepidoptera; Noctuidae. The record is from miRBase by way of RNAcentral.